CAAAGAGGAAUUUUUCCUCAACCUUUUUGGGAAAAGGACCUCAUUUUGGUUAAGGAAGGGAUUCCUACUCUUCCUACAGUGUUCAGAAAAUCCUGCCUCACUGAAGAGUAAAACAUACAUGUAGAAGCACAUGGAACAUAUUAUUUGCAGAGAGAAAUAAUGGAGGCCUUGUAAAUUCAGUGGUCAGAUCAGGACUGCACAAAAUGGGUGAUUAGAUAUUGGCUGUAAAAAGCGUGUCACCUGCCUCCAAUGCCUACCUGUAGUAUCUGUGGGAAUAGGGCUAAGAUAACAUCCAGCUGCAUGGUCAGAGUGAGCGUCCAGAGCUCACCAGAGCAUCGUGUUGACACGAAGCUGAGGGCACCGGGGUGGAGAUUCAGCUGCGUAUUCAGAUUACAUCUUUAAACUUUGUCACACUUGAGUUUGUGGUUGAAUGACCUGAAGACACAAGGGUUUGAAGCUGGCUUAUACGCAUCCUUGGCCACUGGACCAUGUCCUGCCUUUCCAACCUGAGAACAAAAGGAAUGCCUGGG
This 530-nucleotide long non-coding RNA is filed under the name Anas platyrhynchos platyrhynchos (common mallard). RNAcentral describes it as "lncRNA (ENSAPLG00000016675.1)". Lineage: Eukaryota; Metazoa; Chordata; Aves; Anseriformes; Anatidae. The record is from RNAcentral.